AAGACCUUCACUGUCACUGUCAAUGUCACUGCUCCACAAUCAGGUCUGUCUCCAGGUGCGAUAGCAGGGAUAGCUAUUGCUGUUAUUGCGGCGGUGGCUGCAGCUGUUGGUGGCAUUUAGUAUGGCUACAGGAAAAAGGGAGAAAUGUUGUGAGCUUCAGUGGCAGAUGUUGAAUGUCGGUGAUUCCACUAAACGCAGAAGAAAUACGCCAGAGGAGCGGCCUUUGAUAAAGAAAAACUCUCCCGACAGCUUCAGGACGAAACCAAUGUGACAUUUUCAUUAAUCAAAAUUAGUCAUAUUUUUCCUCAUGUGAGCCUCUGAUAUCCUCUGUGUGCAGAUACAUCUGAUCCAAAUCUCACAUUUCAUACCUGU
Long non-coding RNA from Rhinichthys klamathensis goyatoka, 372 nucleotides. RefSeq lists it as uncharacterized. NCBI's taxonomy places the organism in Eukaryota, Metazoa, Chordata, Actinopteri, Cypriniformes, Leuciscidae. The record is from RefSeq and is a predicted model, not a curated record. The transcript is spliced from 4 exons.